This 253-nucleotide ribosomal RNA is filed under the name uncultured bacterium. RNAcentral describes it as "partial 16S ribosomal RNA". It matches the Rfam family "Bacterial small subunit ribosomal RNA", at positions 524 to 776 of the family's 1533-position model. The record is from RNAcentral.
UACGUAGGGGGCUAGCGUUGCCCGGAUUUAUUGGGCGUAAAGAGCGUGUAGGCGGCCAUGUAGGUCCGGUGUGAAAACUCGAGGCUUAACCUCGAGAUGUCAUCGGAAACCAUUUGGCUAGAGUCCGGAAGAGGAGAGUGGAAUUCCUGGUGUAGCGGUGAAAUGCGCAGAUAUCAGGAAGAACACCAAUGGCGAGAGCAGCUCUCUGGGACGGUACUGACGCUGAGACGCGAAAGCGUGGGGAGCGAACGGG